RNAcentral lists this unclassified non-coding RNA (238 nucleotides) under plant metagenome. RNAcentral's name for it is "partial contains small subunit ribosomal RNA, internal transcribed spacer 1, and 5.8S ribosomal RNA". The record is from RNAcentral.
UUUCCGUAGGUGAACCUGCGGAAAGAUCAUUAUCGUUUUUGAAAUUUUUCGAAAAAUUUUUUUGAAAUUUUUGAAAUUUUUUUAAAUACCCGUCGAAUUUUCAAAAUUGAAAUAUAAUUUUUUUUUUUCAAUUCCAAUUUUUUUCAAAAAAAUAUUCUAAUAUUAUUAUAACAAAAAAUAACAUAAAAAACAACUUCUAACAACGGAUGUCUUGGCUCUCGCACGAUGAAGACGCAGC